GUGGGGAAUAUUGGACAAUGGGCGCAAGCCUGAUCCAGCAAUGCCGCGUGGGUGAAGAAGGUCUUCGGAUCGUAAAGCCCUUUCGACAGGGACGAUGAUGACGGUACCUGUAGAAGAAGCCCCGGCUAACUUCGUGCCAGCAGCCGCGGUAAUACGAAGGGGGCUAGCGUUACUCGGAAUUACUGGGCGUAAAGGGCGCGUAGGCGGCUCUGUUAGUCAGGCGUGAAAUUCCUGGGCUUAACCUGGGGACUGCGCUUGAUGCUGCAGGGCUGGAGGCCGAGAGAGGGUGGUGGAAUUCCCAGUGUAGAGGUGAAAUUCGUAGAUAUUGGGAAGAACACCGGUGGCGAAGGCGACCACCUGGCUCGGUUCUGACGCUGAGGCGCGACAGCGUGGGGAGCAAACAGGAUUAGAUACCCCUGUAGUCC
This 425-nucleotide ribosomal RNA is filed under the name uncultured bacterium. RNAcentral's name for it is "partial 16S ribosomal RNA". It matches the Rfam family "Bacterial small subunit ribosomal RNA", at positions 354 to 796 of the family's 1533-position model. The record is from RNAcentral.